ACAAGGUCUCCGUAGGUGAACCUGCGGAGGGAUCAUUACACAAUAAAAUACGAAGGCCGUUCGCGGCUGGACUAUUUAUUACCCUUGUCUUUUGCGCACUUGUUGUUUCCUGGGCGGGUUCGCUCGCCACCAGGACCACAAUAUAAACCUUUUUUAUGCAGUUGCAAUCAGCGUCAGUAUAACAAAUGUAAAUCAUUUACAACUUUCAACAACGGAUCUCUUGGUUCUGGCAUCGAUGAAGAACGCAGCGAAAUGCGAUACGUAGUGUGAAUUGCAGAAUUCAGUGAAUCAUCGAAUCUUUGAACGCACAUUGCGCCCUUUGGUAUUCCAAAGGGCAUGCCUGUUCGAGCGUCAUUUGUACCCUCAAGCUUUGCUUGGUGUUGGGCGUUUUUGUCCCCCCCCAAAAAGGGGACUCGCCUUAAAAGGAUUGGCAGCCGGCCUACUGGUUUCGCAGCGCAGCACAUUUUUGCGCUUGCAAUCAGCAAAAGAGGACGGCAAUCCAUCAAGACUCCUUCUCACGUUUGACCUCGGAUCAGGUAGGGAUACCCGCUGAACUUAAGC
Molecule: ribosomal RNA, 561 nt
Filed under: Curvularia nodosa
Lineage: Eukaryota; Fungi; Ascomycota; Dothideomycetes; Pleosporales; Pleosporaceae
Description: eukaryotic LSU rRNA
Rfam family: 5.8S ribosomal RNA (bases 201-354)
Source: RNAcentral